RNAcentral lists this ribosomal RNA (664 nucleotides) under uncultured bacterium. Its description in RNAcentral is "bacterial SSU rRNA". It matches the Rfam family "Bacterial small subunit ribosomal RNA", at positions 530 to 1195 of the family's 1533-position model. The record is from RNAcentral.
GGAUCCAAGUGUUUUCCGGAAUCAUUUGGGUUUAAAAGGUUCGUUUGGGCGGGUUAAUAAUUCAAUGGUGAAAAGCCCUACGCUCAACGUAGGGAACGGCCAUUGAUACUGUAAGUCUUGAAUUUAUUAGGAAGCAACUAGAAUAUGUAGUGUAGCGGUGAAAUGCUUAGAGAUUACAUGGAAUACCAAUUGCGAAGGCAGGUUACUACUAAUGGAUUGACGCUGAUGGACGAAAGCGUGGGUAGCGAACAGGAUUAGAUACCCUGGUAGUCCACGCCGUAAACGAUGGAUACUAGCUGUUCGGAGCAAUCUGAGUGGCUAAGCGAAAGUGAUAAGUAUCCCACCUGGGGAGUACGUUCGCAAGAAUGAAACUCAAAGGAAUUGACGGGGGCCCGCACAAGCGGUGGAGCAUGUGGUUUAAUUCGAUGAUACGCGAGGAACCUUACCAAGGCUUAAAUGUAGUUUGACAGAUUUGGAAACAGAUUUUUCUUCGGACAAAUUACAAGGUGCUGCAUGGUUGUCGUCAGCUCGUGCCGUGAGGUGUCAGGUUAAGUCCUAUAACGAGCGCAACCCCUGUUGUUAGUUGCCAGCGAGUCAUGUCGGGAACUCUAGCAAGACUGCCAGUGCAAACUGUGAGGAAGGUGGGGAUGACGUCAAGUAAUCG